AUGCCCCGCCACCGGCCGACCACCCACCACCGCAGCAGCACGUCGACGCCUCUAGGACACGCCGUCGGCCAACUUUGCCCUCCUUUUCUCUCUCUUCCUUCGAUUAGGCAUGGUCAAGCACUCGCGCCGGCGAGGCCUCUGCCUUCUCCGGGAGCGGGAUGGACGGCAGCCUCGGGCUCGACCGCGGCCGGCAACGGCGGCCUCUGCCUCGACCAGGGGCAGGACGGGCGGCGGCCUCGGGCUCGACCGCGGUCGGCAACCGCGACGGCGGUCUGUGCCUUAGCCCGGGACAGGAUGGGCGGCGGCCUCUGGCACGACAAGUGA
This 324-nucleotide ribosomal RNA is filed under the name Triticum aestivum (bread wheat). RNAcentral's name for it is "partial small subunit ribosomal RNA". The record is from RNAcentral. Lineage: Eukaryota; Viridiplantae; Streptophyta; Magnoliopsida; Poales; Poaceae.